Molecule: ribosomal RNA, 2906 nt
Filed under: Escherichia coli
Lineage: Bacteria; Pseudomonadati; Pseudomonadota; Gammaproteobacteria; Enterobacterales; Enterobacteriaceae
Description: 23S ribosomal RNA
Rfam family: Bacterial large subunit ribosomal RNA
Source: RNAcentral
GGUUAAGCGACUAAGCGUACACGGUGGAUGCCCUGGCAGUCAGAGGCGAUGAAGGACGUGCUAAUCUGCGAUAAGCGUCGGUAAGGUGAUAUGAACCGUUAUAACCGGCGAUUUCCGAAUGGGGAAACCCAGUGUGUUUCGACACACUAUCAUUAACUGAAUCCAUAGGUUAAUGAGGCGAACCGGGGGAACUGAAACAUCUAAGUACCCCGAGGAAAAGAAAUCAACCGAGAUUCCCCCAGUAGCGGCGAGCGAACGGGGAGCAGCCCAGAGCCUGAAUCAGUGUGUGUGUUAGUGGAAGCGUCUGGAAAGGCGCGCGAUACAGGGUGACAGCCCCGUACACAAAAAUGCACAUGCUGUGAGCUCGAUGAGUAGGGCGGGACACGUGGUAUCCUGUCUGAAUAUGGGGGGACCAUCCUCCAAGGCUAAAUACUCCUGACUGACCGAUAGUGAACCAGUACCGUGAGGGAAAGGCGAAAAGAACCCCGGCGAGGGGAGUGAAAAAGAACCUGAAACCGUGUACGUACAAGCAGUGGGAGCACGCUUCGGCGUGUGACUGCGUACCUUUUGUAUAAUGGGUCAGCGACUUAUAUUCUGUAGCAAGGUUAACCGAAUAGGGGAGCCGAAGGGAAACCGAGUCUUAACUGGGCGUUAAGUUGCAGGGUAUAGACCCGAAACCCGGUGAUCUAGCCAUGGGCAGGUUGAAGGUUGGGUAACACUAACUGGAGGACCGAACCGACUAAUGUUGAAAAAUUAGCGGAUGACUUGUGGCUGGGGGUGAAAGGCCAAUCAAACCGGGAGAUAGCUGGUUCUCCCCGAAAGCUAUUUAGGUAGCGCCUCGUGAAUUCAUCUCCGGGGGUAGAGCACUGUUUCGGCAAGGGGGUCAUCCCGACUUACCAACCCGAUGCAAACUGCGAAUACCGGAGAAUGUUAUCACGGGAGACACACGGCGGGUGCUAACGUCCGUCGUGAAGAGGGAAACAACCCAGACCGCCAGCUAAGGUCCCAAAGUCAUGGUUAAGUGGGAAACGAUGUGGGAAGGCCCAGACAGCCAGGAUGUUGGCUUAGAAGCAGCCAUCAUUUAAAGAAAGCGUAAUAGCUCACUGGUCGAGUCGGCCUGCGCGGAAGAUGUAACGGGGCUAAACCAUGCACCGAAGCUGCGGCAGCGACGCUGAUGCGUUGUUGGGUAGGGGAGCGUUCUGUAAGCCUGUGAAGGUGUGCUGUGAGGCAUGCUGGAGGUAUCAGAAGUGCGAAUGCUGACAUAAGUAACGAUAAAGCGGGUGAAAAGCCCGCUCGCCGGAAGACCAAGGGUUCCUGUCCAACGUUAAUCGGGGCAGGGUGAGUCGACCCCUAAGGCGAGGCCGAAAGGCGUAGUCGAUGGGAAACAGGUUAAUAUUCCUGUACUUGGUGUUACUGCGAAGGGGGGACGGAGAAGGCUAUGUUGGCCGGGCGACGGUUGUCCCGGUUUAAGCGUGUAGGCUGGUUUUCCAGGCAAAUCCGGAAAAUCAAGGCUGAGGCGUGAUGACGAGGCACUACGGUGCUGAAGCAACAAAUGCCCUGCUUCCAGGAAAAGCCUCUAAGCAUCAGGUAACAUCAAAUCGUACCCCAAACCGACACAGGUGGUCAGGUAGAGAAUACCAAGGCGCUUGAGAGAACUCGGGUGAAGGAACUAGGCAAAAUGGUGCCGUAACUUCGGGAGAAGGCACGCUGAUAUGUAGGUGAAGUCCCUCGCGGAUGGAGCUGAAAUCAGUCGAAGAUACCAGCUGGCUGCAACUGUUUAUUAAAAACACAGCACUGUGCAAACACGAAAGUGGACGUAUACGGUGUGACGCCUGCCCGGUGCCGGAAGGUUAAUUGAUGGGGUUAGCCGCAAGGCGAAGCUCUUGAUCGAAGCCCCGGUAAACGGCGGCCGUAACUAUAACGGUCCUAAGGUAGCGAAAUUCCUUGUCGGGUAAGUUCCGACCUGCACGAAUGGCGUAAUGAUGGCCAGGCUGUCUCCACCCGAGACUCAGUGAAAUUGAACUCGCUGUGAAGAUGCAGUGUACCCGCGGCAAGACGGAAAGACCCCGUGAACCUUUACUAUAGCUUGACACUGAACAUUGAGCCUUGAUGUGUAGGAUAGGUGGGAGGCUUUGAAGUGUGGACGCCAGUCUGCAUGGAGCCGACCUUGAAAUACCACCCUUUAAUGUUUGAUGUUCUAACGUUGACCCGUAAUCCGGGUUGCGGACAGUGUCUGGUGGGUAGUUUGACUGGGGCGGUCUCCUCCUAAAGAGUAACGGAGGAGCACGAAGGUUGGCUAAUCCUGGUCGGACAUCAGGAGGUUAGUGCAAUGGCAUAAGCCAGCUUGACUGCGAGCGUGACGGCGCGAGCAGGUGCGAAAGCAGGUCAUAGUGAUCCGGUGGUUCUGAAUGGAAGGGCCAUCGCUCAACGGAUAAAAGGUACUCCGGGGAUAACAGGCUGAUACCGCCCAAGAGUUCAUAUCGACGGCGGUGUUUGGCACCUCGAUGUCGGCUCAUCACAUCCUGGGGCUGAAGUAGGUCCCAAGGGUAUGGCUGUUCGCCAUUUAAAGUGGUACGCGAGCUGGGUUUAGAACGUCGUGAGACAGUUCGGUCCCUAUCUGCCGUGGGCGCUGGAGAACUGAGGGGGGCUGCUCCUAGUACGAGAGGACCGGAGUGGACGCAUCACUGGUGUUCGGGUUGUCAUGCCAAUGGCACUGCCCGGUAGCUAAAUGCGGAAGAGAUAAGUGCUGAAAGCAUCUAAGCACGAAACUUGCCCCGAGAUGAGUUCUCCCUGACCCUUUAAGGGUCCUGAAGGAACGUUGAAGACGACGACGUUGAUAGGCCGGGUGUGUAAGCGCAGCGAUGCGUUGAGCUAACCGGUACUAAUGAACCGUGAGGCUUAACCUU